CGAGGGACCCUGACCGCGCCCCGCUUCCUUUCCAUAACGAGUGGACCCCUCCCGGAGCACCUUCAGCCCUUCCUCCACGGGAGACCCCCCCAGCGCCGGCACGAGAGAUGCCAGCGGACCCCCACCCCUGACACACCUGCGCCGCCUCCGAAACGCGAUCUGUCCGGCGCCUCCCCUCGGGCGCCUUCUCCCCCGAGCCGGCCGGGAGCCGGGACGGGGGCGCGCAGGGUCCGGUCGCCAAUCUGCUUUUCUCCCAUUGCUGCGUCUUAGAGGGGUGUGGUGCCAUGAUACCACUUUUGAAAAUCCUGUUGAAUGCAAGUCCUCUUUGUUGCUCAUUGAACAAUGAGGAUAUUUAGCUCCCCUCAGAGCUACCCUCAGAGUUGGAUGAGCUAUCCUCAGAGUUGGAUGCCACCACCGGGAGCAGCAAAAGCGAAGGCAACUCAUGAUUCUGCCUCAGAAGCAAUCGAAUAAAAUAUUUUGAAAAUGAA
This is a long non-coding RNA of Homo sapiens (human), 488 nucleotides long. Ensembl annotates it as CHL1 antisense RNA 2. Its record names the gene CHL1-AS2. The record is from Ensembl. Lineage: Eukaryota; Metazoa; Chordata; Mammalia; Primates; Hominidae.